UUUGGCUGCGGCACGUGGCCGUGUCUAUCUAACAGGCGUCACCAAGUUCCGUUCCCCAAAGGAGGAGUACGAAAAGCGUUUGAUUGUUCCAGAGUUUAUGAACAGGAAUCCUAUGUAUUUCGUGUAAGAAGAAAAGUACACAGUUACUCUUUAGCCAAUAAUUUUUCAAUUCAAAUAUGAUUAUUUUUUGUCAAUUUUAAUUGUAUCACAUUUUCUGAACCGUAAUCAUAUGUAUAUCUCAUGUAUUGAGGGCACACUCUGCUGCUUUCAUUAGGAGCUCCGAUGUGAAGUGAAAAAUAAAAAUAAGAAAAGAA
Drosophila guanche is the source of this 314-nucleotide long non-coding RNA. RefSeq lists it as uncharacterized. The transcript has 2 exons. The record is from RefSeq and is a predicted model, not a curated record. NCBI's taxonomy places the organism in Eukaryota, Metazoa, Arthropoda, Insecta, Diptera, Drosophilidae.